AGAGGCGAAACCGCGAGGUGGAGCAAAAUCUCAAAAAGCCGUCCCAGUUCGGAUCGCAGGCUGCAACCCGCCUGCGUGAAGUUGGAAUCGCUAGUAAACGCGGAUCAGCAUGCCGCGGUGAAUACGUUCCCGGGCCUUGUACACACCGCCCGUCACACCAUGAGAGUCGGGAACACCCGAAGUCCGUAGCCUAACCGCAAGGGGGGCGCGGCCGAAGGUGGGUUCGAUAAUUGGGGUGAAGUCGUAACAAGGUAAC
This 256-nucleotide ribosomal RNA is filed under the name uncultured bacterium. RNAcentral's name for it is "partial 16S ribosomal RNA". It matches the Rfam family "Bacterial small subunit ribosomal RNA", at positions 1244 to 1500 of the family's 1533-position model. The record is from RNAcentral.